GGGGAUAACUAUUGGAAACGAUAGCUAAUACCGCAUAAGAGUAGAUGUUGCAUGACAUUUGCUUAAAAGGUGCAAUUGCAUCACUACCAGAUGGACCUGCGUUGUAUUAGCUAGUUGGUGGGGUAACGGCUCACCAAGGCGACGAUACAUAGCCGACCUGAGAGGGUGAUCGGCCACACUGGGACUGAGACACGGCCCAG
Molecule: ribosomal RNA, 200 nt
Filed under: uncultured Streptococcaceae bacterium
Lineage: Bacteria; Bacillati; Bacillota; Bacilli; Lactobacillales; Streptococcaceae
Description: partial 16S ribosomal RNA
Rfam family: Bacterial small subunit ribosomal RNA
Source: RNAcentral